Non-coding RNA from Cinara cedri, 315 nucleotides. NCBI's taxonomy places the organism in Eukaryota, Metazoa, Arthropoda, Insecta, Hemiptera, Aphididae. The record is from the annotation of a GenBank genome assembly.
AAUAAAGCAUCUUUCCCACGAAAAGCAGUAAAACCUAAAGGUGUCUCCGAAAGAAAAGAACUAAUCAUUAGUGCGUAAUUGAAAAGAUACGCAAUACGCAAUAUUAAAGGUUUGACUUUGUCGUAACACGAAACAAAUUUCUUUCUAAGCCGACCUAUGUCUUUUUUCCGGUUACGCAAAACAAAAUGUAUUAUUAUACAUUAGUCCUUUGACCUUAUAUCAAUAAGCAACAUGACCGAUCGUAUUAACAUUUAAAAUACAUAGGUGGUUACUGCAGCAGAAUUAUUUCAAUUAAUUGGAAGGAAAAAAAAUAUG